CCUACGGGUGGCAGCAGUGGGGAAUAUUGGACAAUGGGCGAAAGCCUGAUCCAGCCAUGCCGCGUGUGUGAAGAAGGCCUUCGGGUUGUAAAGCACUUUCAGUGGGGAAGAAAGCCUUGGGGCUAAUACCCUCGAGGAAGGACAUCACCCACAGAAGAAGCACCGGCUAACUCCGUGCCAGCAGCCGCGGUAAUACGGAGGGUGCGAGCGUUAAUCGGAAUUACUGGGCGUAAAGCGCGCGUAGGCGGUCUGAUAAGCCGGUUGUGAAAGUCCCGGGCUCAACCUGGGAACGGCAUCCGGAACUGUCAGGCUAGAGUGCAGGAGAGGAAGGUAGAAUUCCCGGUGUAGCGGUGAAAUGCGUAGAGAUCGGGAGGAAUACCAGUGGCGAAGGCGGCCUUCUGGACUGACACUGACGCUGAGGUGCGAAAGCGUGGGUAGCAAACAGGAUUAGAUACCCUGGUAGUC
RNAcentral lists this ribosomal RNA (465 nucleotides) under Vreelandella stevensii. Its description in RNAcentral is "partial 16S ribosomal RNA". It matches the Rfam family "Bacterial small subunit ribosomal RNA", at positions 338 to 795 of the family's 1533-position model. The record is from RNAcentral. Lineage: Bacteria; Pseudomonadati; Pseudomonadota; Gammaproteobacteria; Oceanospirillales; Halomonadaceae.